Molecule: ribosomal RNA, 471 nt
Filed under: uncultured bacterium
Lineage: Bacteria
Description: bacterial SSU rRNA
Rfam family: Bacterial small subunit ribosomal RNA
Source: RNAcentral
UGGGGAAUAUUGGACAAUGGGCGCAAGCCUGAUCCAGCAAUACCGCGUGUGUGAAGAAGGCCUGAGGGUUGUAAAGCACUUUCAAUGGGGAGGAAAAAGCGUAGAUUAAUACUCUGCGUAUUGACAUUACCCAUACAAGAAGCACCGGCUAACUCCGUGCCAGCAGCCGCGGUAAUACGGAGGGUGCAAGCGUUAAUCGGAAUUACUGGGCGUAAAGCGUGCGUAGGCGGUUGGCUAAGUCAGAUGUGAAAGCCCUGGGCUCAACCUGGGAAUGGCAUUUGAAACUGGCCGGCUAGAGUGUGAUAGAGGAUGGCGGAAUUCCCGGUGUAGCGGUGAAAUGCGUAGAGAUCGGGAGGAACAUCCGUGGCGAAGGCGGCCAUCUGGAUCAACACUGACGCUGAGGCACGAAAGCGUGGGGAGCAAACAGGAUUAGAUACCCCCGUAGUCCCUGAGCGGGCUGGCAAGGCGCAU